This 502-nucleotide ribosomal RNA is filed under the name uncultured bacterium. RNAcentral's name for it is "bacterial SSU rRNA". It matches the Rfam family "Bacterial small subunit ribosomal RNA", at positions 840 to 1343 of the family's 1533-position model. The record is from RNAcentral.
UCAGUGCUGCAGCUAACGCAUUAAGUAAUCCGCCUGGGGAGUACGACCGCAAGGUUGAAACUCAAAAGAAUUGACGGGGGCCCGCACAAGCGGUGGAGCAUGUGGUUUAAUUCGAAGCUACGCGAAGAACCUUACCAGGUCUUGACAUCUUCUGACAGUCUAAGAGAUUAGAGGUUCCCUUCGGGGACAGAAUGACAGGUGGUGCAUGGUUGUCGUCAGCUCGUGUCGUGAGAUGUUGGGUUAAGUCCCGCAACGAGCGCAACCCUUAUUACUAGUUGCCAGCAUUAAGUUGGGCACUCUAGUGAGACUGCCGGUGACAAACCGGAGGAAGGUGGGGACGACGUCAAAUCAUCAUGCCCCUUAUGACCUGGGCUACACACGUGCUACAAUGGAUGGUACAACGAGUCGCGAGACCGCGAGGUUAAGCUAAUCUCUUAAAACCAUUCUCAGUUCGGACUGUAGGCUGCAACUCGCCUACACGAAGUCGGAAUCGCUAGUAAUC